Molecule: long non-coding RNA, 670 nt
Organism: Erpetoichthys calabaricus (reedfish)
Lineage: Eukaryota; Metazoa; Chordata; Cladistia; Polypteriformes; Polypteridae
Exons: 2
Source: RefSeq, a predicted model, not a curated record
GCCGGUGUUCUAACGAAACAUUCUACCCAUCGAAAUGAUCCACUUACUGAUACUACGCAUGCGCAGACCAAAAUUACGCAACUUUUCUCGAAGCUUACCAACUGCUUGUCGAUCUGUCCUACCUAGUGUUGAAGUUUGAGGUAAGUGUUACUGUAUUUCAGUAAUAUAUAUGCUUUUCUUAGCCUUACUACAUUAAUGCAUUUAUUACAGUUUACUGCAUAGGUAUUUUUAACUGAUGACAUGGUAUAACGUUAUAAGUUUAAUGCUACGACUUACAAUAAACGGAUGGGUGUAACAUAUACGGUGUAUAUACCAUUCAUGCCAAGUAAUCUGUUGCUUUUGUUGACAUAGUGUGUAAUAAAUAAACUGCUUGCGCCACACUUUUUUCAUUGAGGUCCAAAAUUCACACUACAACAAAGCACUCCCCAUUUCUACUUAUGUAUGGGAGAGAAGCAGUGUUCCCCUCAGAGGUUCCAGUUGACUUGCCGGUGCAGUGUGAUAUGUGCAGUCACUGGGCACAUUUUGAAUGUGCAAAAUACAAUGAAAAAAUUGAAAUAGCAUAUGUUUGUAAAAAAUGUAUGGAUAAAUAAGUAUUGUUCUUUGGUCUUUGUUGUUGGAGUGUUUUAUUGUUCACAAAUGUAUGUAAAUUAAAGCCUUUCUAUUCUUCCUA